UCUAUAGUCCGUAUGUGGUACAUUUUCUCAAUAGGUGCAGUGGCUAGUAUCACUCCACAUGAUAUGAAUGCAUCACGUGCUAUCUUAAAUGACUCUGUACUUGACAUCAUGUUUUACGUUAGCACUUGGUUUGGACCUGAAAUUCUUAAUGGUCUGCAUUGGCAGCUGCACAAGAAAUACGUACAACGAAUUUACAAGACGUAAUUUUGAUUUUAUUUCAAAUAAUGGAACAGUGUCAAUGUUUGCUCAUUUGCUUGGUAACUUGGUAACAUAAUGUGCUAUGACCUGAUGUAUGAGACCUGUAGUAUCAAUGGACUACUGGAGAAAAAGGAAAGAGAUUGUAAACCAAUGGACAUUGAUUUAUUAACAGAUCAUUAAAAAUGAGUCUGAUAAAAAGUUGAAGAGCUGCAGAAGUUAAGAAUAAGAGUUCCGAACUUGAAUUAGAGCUAGUGAUAAAGAAAGGGUUCAAUUCUCUUAAAGAUUAAAGUGGAUCACUUAUUUGCUGUUGAGUCUCCAUUGGGUAUACUCUUAAUGCUAAGGGAACACAGUCCACUAGUGAAGGAAAGCAAAGGAGCUGAUUCACUGCUGCCUUUUUCUAAGAAAUUCUUAAUGUACAUCAUCCUUAAGAUCCUGUGGCCUAUCGUUUGGAGUCCAGUAUAUGCUCAAGUGAAGCGGGUAAAGAUGGACGCUGCUAGUAGCAAACCAACACAAAAGUCAAUGAGUCUAAGCUGAAGGACCCAAGACACCAGAAGUGACACAGAAUACUAAGAGUAGCAGCAACAGCUGGACACAAUCACUGACAUUAGCUGUAGUAGCUUCUAGUAAUGGUGCCAAAACUUUUAAAUCAUUUUAAUAAUUUUAUUGUAGUGGAUAAUAGGCUAUAGUGAAUAUUAUUUUCCUACA
RNAcentral lists this long non-coding RNA (903 nucleotides) under Amphimedon queenslandica. Its description in RNAcentral is "uncharacterized LOC109588368, transcript variant X1". The record is from RNAcentral. Lineage: Eukaryota; Metazoa; Porifera; Demospongiae; Haplosclerida; Niphatidae.